RNAcentral lists this ribosomal RNA (253 nucleotides) under uncultured prokaryote. RNAcentral's name for it is "partial 16S ribosomal RNA". It matches the Rfam family "Bacterial small subunit ribosomal RNA", at positions 524 to 776 of the family's 1533-position model. The record is from RNAcentral.
UACGUAGGGGGCGAGCGUUGUCCGGAUUUAUUGGGCGUAAAGAGCGUGUAGGCGGCCAGGUAAGUCCGCUGUGAAAACUCGAGGCUCAACCUCGAGAGGUCGGUGGAAACUAUCUGGCUAGAGUCCGGAAGAGGAGAGUGGAAUUCCCGGUGUAGCGGUGAAAUGCGCAGAUAUCGGGAAGAAUAUCCGUGGCGAAGGCGGCUCUCUGGUACGGCACUGACGCUGAGACGCGAAAGCGUGGGGAGCGAACAGG